UCAUUUGCAUAUUCUAGGGUUUGGAUUGCACACUUGAGAAGUUUGGGGUGAAAUCAUGAGGACUUGUCUGCAAAUUUAAUUGUUUUGGGCUCACAUCAUAAAUAUCCAAAAGAUAAAGGGCCAUAUGUGCAAAAAGUCCAAAAUUCACCAUUGUUGCGUCGUGGUUCCUCCGCUACGAGAUGGCUGCGACGGUGAGAAGCGACAACUCCAGAGCUUCAGGACAUGCUGUCAUGGCUCGAGCUGAGGUCAAGGCAGCGACUCUGAGCACAUCUGCGACUUGUUUAUGAUGACGACGGCGUGAAUCGUGGAGGAGAUGAAGACGGAGGCGG
Molecule: long non-coding RNA, 329 nt
Filed under: Brassica rapa (field mustard)
Lineage: Eukaryota; Viridiplantae; Streptophyta; Magnoliopsida; Brassicales; Brassicaceae
Description: long non-coding RNA (BRAP_LNC005875)
Source: RNAcentral